UACGGAGGGUGCAAGCGUUAUCCGGAUUCACUGGGUUUAAAGGGUGCGUAGGUGGGUUGGUAAGUCAGUGGUGAAAUCUCCAGGCUUAACUUGGAAACUGCCAUUGAUACUAUCAAUCUUGAAUACCGUGGAGGUCAGCGGAAUAUGUCAUGUAGCGGUGAAAUGCUUAGAUAUGACAUAGAACACCAAUUGCGAAGGCAGCUGGCUACACAUAUAUUGACACUGAGGCACGAAAGCGUGGGGAUCAAACAGG
This 253-nucleotide ribosomal RNA is filed under the name uncultured bacterium. RNAcentral's name for it is "partial 16S ribosomal RNA". It matches the Rfam family "Bacterial small subunit ribosomal RNA", at positions 524 to 776 of the family's 1533-position model. The record is from RNAcentral.